RNAcentral lists this ribosomal RNA (482 nucleotides) under uncultured bacterium. RNAcentral describes it as "partial 16S ribosomal RNA". It matches the Rfam family "Bacterial small subunit ribosomal RNA", at positions 28 to 507 of the family's 1533-position model. The record is from RNAcentral.
GACGAACGCUGGCGGCGUGCCUAACACAUGCAAGUCGAACGGAACUGUUUUGAAAGAUUUCUUCGGAAUGAAUUUGAUUUAGUUUAGUGGCGGACGGGUGAGUAACGCGUGAGUAACCUGCCUUCAAGAGGGGAAUAACAUUCUGAAAAGAAUGCUAAUACCGCAUGACAUAUCGGAACCACAUGGUUUUGAUAUCAAAGAUUUUAUCGCUUUAAGAUGGACUCGCGUCCGAUUAGUUAGUUGGUGAGGUAACGGCUCACCAAGACCGCGAUCGGUAGCCGGACUGAGAGGUUGAACGGCCACAUUGGGACUGAGACACGGCCCAGACUCCUACGGGAGGCAGCAGUGGGGGAUAUUGCGCAAUGGGGGCAACCCUGACGCAGCAACGCCGCGUGAAGGAUGAAGGUUUUCGGAUUGUAAACUUCUUUUAUUAAGGACGAAAAAUGACGGUACUUAAUGAAUAAGCUCCGGCUAACUACGUG